This 415-nucleotide ribosomal RNA is filed under the name uncultured bacterium. RNAcentral's name for it is "bacterial SSU rRNA". It matches the Rfam family "Bacterial small subunit ribosomal RNA", at positions 92 to 518 of the family's 1533-position model. The record is from RNAcentral.
CGAGUGGCGGACGGGUGAGUAACGCGUGAGCAACCUGUCCCAGACAGGGGGAUAACGACUUGGAAACAGGUGCUAAUACCGCAUAAGACCACGGGGUCACAUGGCCCAGGGGUAAAAGGAGCAAUCCGGUUUGGGUGGGCUCGCGUCCGAUUAGAUAGUUGGUGAGGUAACGGCCCACCAAGUCGACGAUCGGUAGCCGACCUGAGAGGGUGAUCGGCCACAUUGGAACUGAGAGACGGGUCCAAACUCCUACGGGAGGCAGCAGUGGGGAAUAUUGGGCAAUGGGCCGAAAGCCUGACCCAGCAACGCCGCGUGAGUGAAGAAGGCCUUCGGGUUGUAAAGCUCUGUUAUAGGGGACGAAGGAAGUGACGGUACCCUAUAAGGAAGCCCCGGCUAACUACGUGCCAGCCGCGGC